GGGCCCGCACAAGCAGUGGAGUAUGUGGUUUAAUUCGAAGAUACGCGAAAACCUUACCAGGUCUUGACAUCCCUCUGACCGGUGUAGAGAUACACUUUCCCUUCGGGGCAGAGGUGACAGGUGGUGCAUGGUUGUCGUCAGCUCGUGUCGUGAGAUGUUGGGUUAAGUCCCGCAACGAGCGCAACCCUUACUGAUAGUUGCUACGCAAGAGCACUCUAUCGGGAUUGCCGUUGACAAAACGGAGGAAGGUGGGGAUGAGGUCAAAUCAUCAUGCCCCUUAUGACCUGGGCCACACACGUACUACAAUGGCCGUUAACAAAGGGAAGCAAUACCGCGAGGUGGAGCGAACCCCAAAAACGGUCUCAGUUCGGAUCGCAGGCUGCAACCCGCCUGCGUGAAGCUGGAAUUGCUAGUAAUCGCGGAUCAGCAUGCCG
This 434-nucleotide ribosomal RNA is filed under the name uncultured Bacillota bacterium. RNAcentral describes it as "bacterial SSU rRNA". It matches the Rfam family "Bacterial small subunit ribosomal RNA", at positions 917 to 1359 of the family's 1533-position model. The record is from RNAcentral. Lineage: Bacteria; Bacillati; Bacillota.